GGAUGCUACACAGAUAAGAGUGGAGUUAUGUAGAAUAGAUAUUAGUUCGUUUUUGUAAGAUAUUGAUAAAAUAGACUAAUAGUCUAUAGAAUAGUCAAUUCAGGAAGACGGAUGGUUAACUUAGUUAUUAAAAGUGGUUAAUUAUAUUAUUACGGUUGGAAUCUAGGAAUAGGGAGUAAAUAUAUAAGAGUUGUAGAAGUUAGUCUGAAUGCUAGACUGUGAUAGUCAUGAGCCAGGGUAAACUUGGUGCUACCUCUUUGCCUCUUUGUCUCUUUAUUUCUUUGUUCUUGAAAAGUAAUAGAUAGUUUUUGAAUACUAAGAGGUGAGUCUGUAGAAUAAAUCAAAGAUUGAUUUAUGAGUUAUUGAUUAUGUAAUUGAAGCACUGAGUGAUUGAAUUAUAUGAGGAAUUAUUAGAAGAUUAUGAUUGUUGUUUAUUGAGAGUUGUGUGUAUUUCGAGAGAUGAAGUCUGUAAUUACACAAAUUAUGUGAAUUCAGAUUGGUUGGAGUGAAGUCUGUUAUUUCUAGUAUUGGAUGGAAAUUAUGUAUUUUGAACGGACUUUUGAGAGUGCAUGGUUGCACACUGUUGUUAUCAGUUGAUGAAGGAGUAUUGUUACUGGAAGAAAGUAUUGUAGUAUUUCUUGAUAUUUUAGUGGUUUGGAAUACGGUUAAUUAUGUGACCCUAACAAGUAAAACUCAUAUACUUAGUCUUUUCAUGUGUUCAAAUUCUCCUAUA
This 733-nucleotide long non-coding RNA is filed under the name Physcomitrium patens. RNAcentral's name for it is "long non-coding RNA (PPAT_LNC007683)". The record is from RNAcentral. Lineage: Eukaryota; Viridiplantae; Streptophyta; Bryopsida; Funariales; Funariaceae.